CUUCAGGGACCCGAGCCACAGCGGUUCAGCGCGGUCCUGGCCGUAGGUGGCGAGCACGGCCUGGGCCUC
This 69-nucleotide antisense RNA is filed under the name Actinokineospora terrae. RNAcentral's name for it is "ASpks TB sRNA". It matches the Rfam family "ASpks TB sRNA". The record is from Rfam by way of RNAcentral. Lineage: Bacteria; Bacillati; Actinomycetota; Actinomycetes; Pseudonocardiales; Pseudonocardiaceae.